Long non-coding RNA from Eriocheir sinensis (Chinese mitten crab), 1523 nucleotides. RefSeq lists it as uncharacterized. The record is from RefSeq and is a predicted model, not a curated record. The transcript is spliced from 3 exons. Lineage: Eukaryota; Metazoa; Arthropoda; Malacostraca; Decapoda; Varunidae.
GCAGGACUGAGUACACUAACACCAGACAGAGAACUAGGUGGAGAGGUGGAAUUAGAACCUUUACCGGGGCAAGAUGGAGCACACUAACACCAGACAGAGAACCAGGUGGAGAGGUGAAAUUGGAACCUUUACCGGGGCAGGAUGGAGCACACUAACACUAGACAGAGAACCAGGUAGAGAGAUGGAACUAGAACUUUUACCGGGGCAGGACUGAGUACACUAACACCAGACAGAGAACUAGGUGGAGAGGUGGAAUUAGAACCUUUACCGGGGCAGGACUGAGUACACUAACACCAGACAGAGAAUCAGGUGGAGAGGUGGAAUUAGAACCUUUACCGGGGCAGGACGGAGUACUAACACCAGACAGAGAACCAGGUGGAGAGGUGGAAUUAGAACCUUUACUGGGGCAGGACUGAGUACACUAACACUAGACAGAGAACCAGGUGGAGAGAUGGAAUUAGAACCUUUGCCGGGGCAGGAUGGAGCACACUAACACCAGACAGAGAACCAGGUGGAGAGAUGGAAUUAGAACCUUUGCCGGGGCAGGAUGGAGCACACUAACACCAGACAGAGAACCAGGUGGAGAGAUGGAAUUAGAACCUUUGCCGGGGCAUUAUGGAGCACACUAGCAUCAGGCAGAUAACCAGGUGGAGAGAUGAAACUAGAACCUUUGCCGGGGCAGGAUAGAGCACACCAACACCACACAGAAAACCAGGUGGAGAGGUGGAUUUAUAACGUUUACUAGGGCAGGAUGGAGCACACUAACACCAGACAGAGAACCAGGUGGAGAGGUGAAAUUGGAACCCUUACCGGGGCAGGAUGGAGCACACUAAUACCAGACAGAGAACCAGGUGGAGAGGUGAUAUUAGAACCUUUACCGGGGCAGGACUGAGUACACUAACAGCAGUCAGAGAACCAGGUGGAGAAGUGGAAUUAGAACCUUUACCGGAGCAGGAUGGAGCACACUAACACUAGACAGACAACCAGGUGGAGAGAUGGAAUUAGAACCUUUACCGGGGCAGGCCUGAGUACGCUAAUACCAGACAGAGAACCAGGUGGAGAGACGGAAUUAGAACCUUUACCGGGGCAGGCCUGAGUACACUAACACCAGACAGAGAACCAGGUGGAGAGAUGAGAUUAGAACCUUUACUGGGACAGGAUGGAGCACACUAACACCAGACAGGGAACCAGGUGGAGAAAUGAAAUUAGAACCUUUACCGGGGCAGGAUGGAGCACACUAACACCACACAGAGAACCAGGUGGAAAUAUGAAAUUAGAACCUUUACCGGGGCAGGAUGGAGCACAAUAACACCACACAGAGAACCAGGUGGAAAGAUGAAAUUAGAACCUUUACCGGGGUAGGAUGGAGUACGCUAACACCAGACAGAGAACCAGGUGGAGAGGUGGAAUUAGAACAUUUACCUGGGCAGGACUGAGUACACUAACACCAGAUAGAGAACCAGGUGGAGAGGUGGAAUUGGAACCUUUACCGGGGCAGGACUGAGUACACUAACACCAGACAG